Gordionus sp. m RMFG-2023 is the source of this 240-nucleotide long non-coding RNA. RefSeq lists it as uncharacterized. The transcript is spliced from 4 exons. Lineage: Eukaryota; Metazoa; Nematomorpha; Gordioida; Chordodea; Parachordodidae. The record is from RefSeq and is a predicted model, not a curated record.
AUAACAAGCCCUGUCUUACCCUCACUUAAUGAUUGUACAGGUGGUAUAUUGACUCCUCGUCAAAUAACAAGCCAUGUCCUAACCUCAGUUAAUGAUUGUAUUCCCACUAUUUCUAGAGAGAUAACAAGCCCUGUCUUACCCAUAUUUAAUGAUUGUACAGGUGGUAUAUUGACUCCUCAUCAUAUAACAAGCCAUGUCCUAACCUCAGUUAAUGAUUGUAUUCCCACUAUUUCUAGAGAG